Molecule: ribosomal RNA, 310 nt
Filed under: Chaetopteridae sp. Unknown2009PCR2F6
Lineage: Eukaryota; Metazoa; Annelida; Polychaeta; Chaetopteridae
Description: SSU rRNA
Rfam family: Eukaryotic small subunit ribosomal RNA
Source: RNAcentral
GUCUGGUUAAUUCCGAUAACGAACGAGACUCUAGCCUGCCAAAUAGUUAGCGGAUAACGAUUCGUCCGCUUUAACUUCUUAGAGGGACAAGUGGCGUUCAGCCACACGAGAUUGAGCAAUAACAGGUCUGUGAUGCCCUUAGAUGUUCGGGGCCGCACGCGCGCUACACUGAAAGAAUCAGCGUGUGUCUACCCUGGUCCGGAAGGAUUGGGUAACCCGUUGAACCUCUUUCGUGCUAGGGAUUGGGGCUUGUAAUUAUUCCCCAUGAACGAGGAAUUCCCAGUAAGCGCGAGUCAUAAGCUCGCGUGAU